This 1372-nucleotide ribosomal RNA is filed under the name uncultured bacterium. Its description in RNAcentral is "bacterial SSU rRNA". It matches the Rfam family "Bacterial small subunit ribosomal RNA", at positions 27 to 1393 of the family's 1533-position model. The record is from RNAcentral.
GAUUGAACGCUGGCGGCAUGCCUUACACAUGCAAGUCGAACGGCAGCAUGAUCUAGCUUGCUAGAUUGAUGGCGAGUGGCGAACGGGUGAGUAAUACAUCGGAACGUGCCCUGUAGUGGGGGAUAACUAGUCGAAAGAUUAGCUAAUACCGCAUACGACCUGAGGGUGAAAGUGGGGGACCGCAAGGCCUCAUGCUAUAGGAGCGGCCGAUGUCUGAUUAGCUAGUUGGUGAGGUAAAGGCUCACCAAGGCGACGAUCAGUAGCUGGUCUGAGAGGACGAUCAGCCACACUGGGACUGAGACACGGCCCAGACUCCUACGGGAGGCAGCAGUGGGGAAUUUUGGACAAUGGGGGCAACCCUGAUCCAGCAAUGCCGCGUGUGUGAAGAAGGCCUUCGGGUUGUAAAGCACUUUUGUCCGGAAAGAAAUCGCACUUACUAAUAUUAGGUGUGGAUGACGGUACCGGAAGAAUAAGGACCGGCUAACUACGUGCCAGCAGCCGCGGUAAUACGUAGGGUCCAAGCGUUAAUCGGAAUUACUGGGCGUAAAGCGUGCGCAGGCGGUUGUGCAAGACCGAUGUGAAAUCCCCGGGCUUAACCUGGGAAUUGCAUUGGUGACUGCACGGCUAGAGUGUGUCAGAGGGGGGUAGAAUUCCACGUGUAGCAGUGAAAUGCGUAGAGAUGUGGAGGAAUACCGAUGGCGAAGGCAGCCCCCUGGGAUAACACUGACGCUCAUGCACGAAAGCGUGGGGAGCAAACAGGAUUAGAUACCCUGGUAGUCCACGCCCUAAACGAUGUCAACUAGUUGUUGGGGAUUCAUUUCCUUAGUAACGUAGCUAACGCGUGAAGUUGACCGCCUGGGGAGUACGGUCGCAAGAUUAAAACUCAAAGGAAUUGACGGGGACCCGCACAAGCGGUGGAUGAUGUGGAUUAAUUCGAUGCAACGCGAAAAACCUUACCUACCCUUGACAUGCCACUAACGAAGCAGAGAUGCAUUAGGUGCUCGAAAGAGAAAGUGGACACAGGUGCUGCAUGGCCGUCGUCAGCUCGUGUCGUGAGAUGUUGGGUUAAGUCCCGCAACGAGCGCAACCCUUGUCUCUAGUUGCUACGAAAGGGCACUCUAGAGAGACUGCCGGUGACAAACCGGAGGAAGGUGGGGAUGACGUCAAGUCCUCAUGGCCCUUAUGGGUAGGGCUUCACACGUCAUACAAUGGUGCAUACAGAGGGUUGCCAAGCCGCGAGGUGGAGCUAAUCCCAGAAAAUGCAUCGUAGUCCGGAUCGUAGUCUGCAACUCGACUACGUGAAGCUGGAAUCGCUAGUAAUCGCGGAUCAGCAUGCCGCGGUGAAUACGUUCCCGGGUCUUGUACACACCGC